GCUGUUUAGUUUGGUAUUUGUGUUUACAGCAAACUGUGGGGUGUCCUGGGCACAGACUGGCUGCUGACAGGCUCUUUUUCCCUUGCAGUUCGCAGUGUUGAUGUGGGUUUUCACUUAUGUUGGUGCCUUGUUCAAUGGUCUGACAUUACUGAUCCUGGCUUUGAUUUCGCUCUUCAGUGUUCCUGUUAUUUAUGAGAGACAUCAGGCCCAAAUUGACCAUUACCUGGGACUCGUGAACAAGAACGUCAAAGAUGCCAUGGCAAAGAUCCAAGCAAAGAUCCCCGGGUUGAAGCGCAAAACUGAAUAAAAAAAAAAAGCCUGAAGCAACUUAUCAAUAGGAAGUUCAUCUUUUAAGGGGGAAAAAUACUCAUUGGAUUUACACGGGGAGGGUCAGGGAAUAGCAAACCCCUUGACAUUGCAGUGCAAUUUCACAGAUCUUUAUUUUUUAGCAACGCAGUGUUUGAGGAAAAAAUAACUGUUUUGACUGCCAUGUGUUUCAUCAUCUUAAGUAUUGUAAGCUGCUAUGUAUGGAUCUAAAACUAAUCAUCUUUCCUUAUCCUGUGUGCAGCACUGGCUAAUACAAACGACUGAGACAGCUGUACAUUUGCUUCAUCAGAGGUAGUUCCUGCUGCGUUCCGGAGGUGUAGAGCAGGUGGGGCAGAGGAGAACACUUCCCAGUUUGUGCACUGUGUAUGGUCUGUGUAGAUUGAUGCAGAUUUUCUAAAAUGAGAUGUUUUAGAAGAAUAUACCAGUUUAGCAAGUUUUGAAAAAUCUUGCCUUUUUGGUAUGAGUAUAGCUGUAUUGUGAUUUUAUUGUUUUAUCAAUUGCCAAUAUAUAUAUAUAUGUGUUUCACAAAGCUUAGAUCUUUCAGCUGCUCCACAGUGCUUUGUAUGUCAGAGAACUGACUGAGGCCUGGACGAGCUCCAGAGCACACAAGCUUGAGAAACUAAAAAGUCUCUGUAAACACUGGCAUCUGUUGGAACCAACAAAAGAGAAAAGAACAAAGAACCUCCACAUAGAGUAAAAGAAAAUUACAGCAUACACUUUGUUGCACAAACGUACAGUAGUUGAUCUUGAGCAAAUACUUCUCCAGCUCUCAGACUCUGAUAAUCUGUGGACCGAGUAUCUAAUGCUGCAAAUGUUGUUUGGAAACUUAAAGCCCUGUCCUGUUAUGCAAGAAAUGAUAAGUGAAAAUUUAUACACUUGCAGUUUGAGCUGUACUGAACUAAGUCUGUGGAAUGCAUUGUGAAAUGUAAAAAAAAAACCAACAAAAAAGCAAAAAAAAACCACCCAACAACCAACCCCAAAACCCCAAGUAUCAAUAAAGCUUAUAGACAUAAAAUAAUACCGGUAUUUGGCUUUCUUGAGGCAAGUUUAAUCUAUUUGUGUUUAUUUGAAGUUCAUUGUGAUAAAUAUCCAUUGUCCAUGGUGGUGGCAGUAGUGUCCGAGUAGAGCGCGGUGCAGGGUGGGUUUGUCACGGUCCCUUUUCUUUCUCUGCACUGGGAAGGAGUUGCUCAGGGCCAGCUCCAGAGUCCCAGGGAGCUCCAGAGGGUGUCAGGUUCUUGGAUUUUUGAGACAGGAAUGGUGGAUGCCAUUUUCAAGUUUGAAGGAAAUAAGUCCCAAUAAUCUUUCCAGGUCAACGUGUUGAUUCUGAUUGAAGAGCUGGACAUUGAAAACUUGUGUACAAAUUUAUUUGAGAUGCAGAUUUUUAAUGAAUGGCAUCUUGACCAUUGAAAAAUAGAAAUUCAUGCAUUAAUAUUUCAGUUUACAGUAAAAUACAGCGUUACUUCUGAGCAUUUUAUACAGGAAGCCAGACCAUAGAAACAUACAAACCGUAAGUAAGUGUUUUCCUGACAGACACUAUUGCUUGAAGAUAUUUCUCACAUCACUGUUGAUUAAUUCAUUCUGCCACGCAACUGGUUUUAUUUGGGAUACAAUCAACGUGGAAGGAAGGCAAACAUGAGUGGUUACAACACAGGCAGAGGUGCUCACUGCUGGCACCACCUGACAGAACAGGAUUUGAUCCCGAAGGUUGCUUUAAAAAACAGACUGCAUAGGGACUCGUACUGUGUAUCUGACAAACUGCUCUGCUGUAUAGUCAUAUAAGGCAUUAAUAAAUUCAAUUGUAAAAAAAAGGUGAUUCUUUGAGGUUGCUGAAGCACUUUGUGUGUUAAACAGACAGGAAUCCACUCCUUUAAUGGGAUGUUUUUGCUACUUUUCUGUGCAGUGGGCAGCAGAAACGGACUGGCAGGAAGGUUCCAGAGUUCAAAAGCCUAUUGUCCUGCACUGGGACUAAAGCACUAUUGCUUUUCAGAGACUAAAUUCUGUCCAAAGGCUC
This is a long non-coding RNA of Poecile atricapillus (Black-capped chickadee), 2338 nucleotides long. RefSeq lists it as uncharacterized. The record is from RefSeq and is a predicted model, not a curated record. The transcript has 5 exons. NCBI's taxonomy places the organism in Eukaryota, Metazoa, Chordata, Aves, Passeriformes, Paridae.